GAUGAACGCUGGCGGCGUGCCUAAUACAUGCAAGUCGAACGCGCAGCGAAAGGUGCUUGCACCUUUCAAGCGAGUGGCGAGCGGGUGAGUAACACGUGGAUAACCUGCCUCAAGGCUGGGGAUAACAUUUGGAAACAGAUGCUAAUACCGAAUAAAACUUAGUAUCGCAUGAUACAAAGUUGAAAGGCGCUACGGCGUCACCUAGAGAUGGGUCCGCGGUGCAUUAGUUAGUUGGUGGGGUAAAGGCCUACCAAGACAAUGAUGCAUAGCCGAGUUGAGAGACUGAUCGGCCACAUUGGGACUGAGACACGGCCCAAACUCCUACGGGAGGCUGCAGUAGGGAAUCUUCCACAAUGGGCGAAAGCCUGAUGGAGCAACGCCGCGUGUGUGAUGAAGGCUUUAGGGUCGUAAAGCACUGUUGUAUGGGAAGAAAUGCUAGAAUAGGGAAUGAUUCUAGUUCGACGGUACCAUACCAGAAAGGGACGGCUAAAUAUGUGCCAGCCGCCGCAGUAA
This 513-nucleotide ribosomal RNA is filed under the name uncultured bacterium. RNAcentral's name for it is "partial 16S ribosomal RNA". It matches the Rfam family "Bacterial small subunit ribosomal RNA", at positions 28 to 523 of the family's 1533-position model. The record is from RNAcentral.